GCCUACGGGGGGCAGCAGUGGGGAAUAUUGCACAAUGGGGGAAACCCUGAUGCAGCGACGCCGCGUGGGCGAGGAAGUACCUCGGUAUGUAAAGCCCUAUCAGCAGGGAAGAAACAGGACAGUACCUGACUAAGAAGCCCCGGCUAACUACGUGCCAGCAGCCGCGGUAAUACGUAGGGGGCAAGCGUUAUCCGGAUUUACUGGGUGUAAAGGGAGCGUAGACGGUGCAGCAAGUCUGAUGUGAAAGGUCGGGGCCCAACCCCGGGACUGCAUUGGAAACUGUUG
This 285-nucleotide ribosomal RNA is filed under the name uncultured bacterium. RNAcentral's name for it is "partial 16S ribosomal RNA". It matches the Rfam family "Bacterial small subunit ribosomal RNA", at positions 337 to 638 of the family's 1533-position model. The record is from RNAcentral.